Molecule: long non-coding RNA, 567 nt
Filed under: Sinocyclocheilus anshuiensis
Lineage: Eukaryota; Metazoa; Chordata; Actinopteri; Cypriniformes; Cyprinidae
Description: lncRNA (ENSSANG00000028809.1)
Source: RNAcentral
AGCUUUUGUACCUUUUUUUUCUGAGAGUGUGGCUGUGUUCUUGACAGGUUUUGAUGUUAGAUAUUCAUACUUCAACUGAGAACUUGGGUGCUGAUCCUGGUGACUUCUUUUACCAGAAACACAAAAUCAGCUUUCAGUCAUUUAAAACGUUCACCAAUUAAGCACAAACAGAAAUACCUUGUCGCUGAAAUAGGAGCGUGUGAAGCAAAAUCACAGCCCAGCUUAGAGAACGCAGGUGUGCUUGGACCAGAAUUCAUGGAGAAGACAAAAGCGGGCGACUUGGUGUCUGAGAUCUCCUGCCGUACAGCUUGAAUCUUCAGCAGUUUUUGAGCCAGUGAGUUCUGACAGUAUCGAUCUUUAUACUGCUGAAACACGUUCCUGUAGCUCUCCAUUCUCUCCUGGAAGAUUUUCCUUCAAAGACCAAGCAUCUUUAACCCUAUAAGCCUACUGUAUUUUAUUUGAUACAUGCUUUUCUAAGGCCUAUAAAUUCUAUGAUUGCUGAAAAACCUGUUGCAUGCCAUCUACUACAUGCCUACUGCUGUCUGAUUAAUUAUACUUGUUUGGCAC